This 253-nucleotide ribosomal RNA is filed under the name uncultured bacterium. Its description in RNAcentral is "partial 16S ribosomal RNA". It matches the Rfam family "Bacterial small subunit ribosomal RNA", at positions 524 to 776 of the family's 1533-position model. The record is from RNAcentral.
UACGUAGGGACCAAGCGUUGUUCGGAUUUACUGGGCGUAAAGGGCGCGUAGGCGGCUUUGUAAGUCACUUGUGAAAUCUCUGAGCUUAACUCAGAACGGCCAAGUGAUACUGCAAUGCUAGAGUAUUGGAGGGGCAAUCGGAAUUCUUGGUGUAGCGGUGAAAUGCGUAGAUAUCAAGAGGAACACCUGAGGUGAAGACGGGUUGCUGGCCAAAUACUGACGCUGAGGCGCGAAAGCCAGGGGAGCAAACGGG